Molecule: ribosomal RNA, 497 nt
Filed under: uncultured bacterium
Lineage: Bacteria
Description: partial 16S ribosomal RNA
Rfam family: Bacterial small subunit ribosomal RNA
Source: RNAcentral
GAUGAACGCUGGCGGCGUGCCUAAUACAUGCAAGUCGAGCGAACGGACGAGAAGCUUGCUUCUCUGAUGUUAGCGGCGGACGGGUGAGUAACACGUGGAUAACCUACCUAUAAGACUGGGAUAACUUCGGGAAACCGGAGCUAAUACCGGAUAAUAUUUUGAACCGCAUGGUUCAAAAGUGAAAGACGGUCUUGCUGUCACUUAUAGAUGGAUCCGCGCUGCAUUAGCUAGUUGGUAAGGUAACGGCUUACCAAGGCAACGAUGCAUAGCCGACCUGAGAGGGUGAUCGGCCACACUGGAACUGAGACACGGUCCAGACUCCUACGGGAGGCAGCAGUAGGGAAUCUUCCGCAAUGGGCGAAAGCCUGACGGAGCAAAGCCGCGUGAGUGAUGAAGGUAUUCGGAUCGUAAAACUCUGUUAUUAGGGAAGAACAUAUGUGUAAGUAACUGUGAACAUCUUGAAGGAACCUAAUCAGAAAGCAACGGCUAACUACGUG